UACCAGCACCCCGAGUGGUCGGGACGUUUAUUGGGCCUAAAGCAUCCGUAGCCGGUUCUACGAGUCUUCCGUUAAAUCCAACUGCUUAACAGGUGGGCUGCGGAAGAUACUAUAGAGCUAGGAGGCGGGAGAGGCAAGCGGUACUCGAUGGGUAGGGGUAAAAUCCGUUGAUCCAUUGAAGACCACCAGUGGCGAAGGCGGCUUGCCAGAACGCGCUCGACGGUGAGGGAUGAAAGCUGGGGGAGCAAACCGG
This 253-nucleotide ribosomal RNA is filed under the name uncultured bacterium. RNAcentral describes it as "partial 16S ribosomal RNA". It matches the Rfam family "Archaeal small subunit ribosomal RNA", at positions 474 to 727 of the family's 1478-position model. The record is from RNAcentral. RNAcentral also lists the same sequence under 1 other name.